AACAAAACAGGCAAGGCAAAUAGGUUUCUUUCCUGGAGCUUGGAUACACUCUUAUCCUGCCCUUGGUCAGCAGAACUCCAGGCUCGCUGGCCUUUGGACUCUAGGACUUACACCAGCAACCCCCACUCCUACCCCAGGUUUUCAGGCCCUGGAACUUGGCCUGAACAACACUACUGGCAUUCCAGGAUCCCCAGCAUGUAGAUGGCUGUCACAGGACUUCUCAGCCUCAGUAAUCAGACACAGAUUGCUGCAGACAUCAUGGGUGAUCAUGGAAGACAAGUUCGCCUCCCUGUUUGGCUUUUGAUCACGAAAUUUGGAAAUGAGACAGAGAAAUACUGGACAAUCUGUGGAGACUCGCUUGAACGAGAACUAUGAAGCCAAAAGAGGUCGGAUGGGCACCUUCCACCCUGUGCAAACAGAGAAAGCCACAGGAGCAAAAGCAGCACGUGUGCGGGAAGACGGAGCACCGAGACCAGGAGACCCCGAGGAAAGAGGAGGGCGGCAGAGUGGCUGCCUCUGUUCUGAGAAGGGUCUGACUCCUGCUUCCCUUCCUUUCAGAAGCCAAAAUUCUUCACUCUCCUGCAUUCCAUGGUCCUUAUAACACAGCCUACCUCUUUAUUUAAACAGCUUGAGUGGAGUUUUUGGUACAUUUUAACAAAAAGAGUAAAGCAAAAAAUUGUUGUACUCACAACUUGAGAUACAGAGGUGAACUAAAUAUUUUCCCUCCCAGGAACGAAGUCCUGUGAAGGGAAGACACAGCGGGAGAGGCUGCACACAGUGGCUCACGUCUGUAAUCCCAGCACUUCGGGAGGCUGAGGUGGAAGGAUCUCUUGAGCUCAGUUUGAGACCAGUCUAGCAACGCAGGGAGACCACAUCUCUACACGUUUUUGUUUUUUGUUUUUUUUUAAAUUAGCCAGGUGUGGUGGUGCAUGCCAGCUCCUCCAAAGGCUGAGGUGGGAGGGUCGCUUGAGCCUGGGAAGUCAAGGCUGUAUUGGGCCACGAUUGCACCACUGCACUCCAGCCUGGGUGACAGAGUGAGACUCCGUCUCAGAAAAAAAUAAAUAAAUAAAUAAUAAUAAUAAUAAUAAUAUGGCCGGAUAACCUGCAAGAUUAUGUUACAGUUAACAGUAUAUACAUUCCGGGGGUAUGAGAAGAGAACUAGUUCAUUCCCCCUGCAUGCUCUGGUAAACAGAAAACACUAAAAAGGUCAGACACAUUUUUUUCCAAAAAAUAGUGCACCAAACUAGUUUUCCUUGUAUGAGAACCAGACUCAUGGAUUUGUACCUAAGCAUUCCUGAUUCUGUAUAUCUGAGACUGGGUACGGGAAUCUGUAUUCUAAAAAAUCUUCCUGGAUUACUAUGACGCCCAGCCGGGCUUGGAAGGCCUAUAAACCAUUGAGACAAAGGUGACAGGAAAAUCAGAAAAUAUUAACAAAUUGGAAGUAGCAUUUGAGAGAGAUCUGAAAGAUGAGUAAGACCUGUCAUAUAUAGAAAGAGGUUGGGAAAUAACUUUUCAGGAAGAAAGAGCAAAUUGCAAAUUACCACACAAAUAAAAGUUGCUUAUGUUCACUAUUAUUUCCAUUUUUGUUAUGGUCACAAAUAUAUACAUGUCUGAUUGCACCUACUUACACAGCUGGGAAGAAGAUAGGGCUAACAAUAGAUUCAAUCUACCUGCCUCUGUCAAACAGACAUUAUUAACAUGCCCUGCGAAGUAUCACAGAAGUUACUUGAAUUUUUUUUUUUUUUUUUUUUUUUUUGAGACAGAGUCUCACUCUUGUUGCCCAGGCUGGAGUGCAAUGGAGCAAUAUCGGCUCACCGCAACCCCCGCCUCCCAGGUUCAAGCAAUUCUCCUUCCUCAGCCUCCCGACUAGCUAGGAGUACAGGCUUGUGUCACUACGCCCAGCUAAUUUUGUAUCUUUAGGAG
Molecule: long non-coding RNA, 1923 nt
Filed under: Homo sapiens (human)
Lineage: Eukaryota; Metazoa; Chordata; Mammalia; Primates; Hominidae
Description: HSALNT0183697
Source: RNAcentral